UGAGAUCAUUGUUGCUGGAAGACCAGGUUCUGGAGCUAUUUCUGCUAAUGUAGUUGUUGAUGAGAGACAAAUGAAUGCCUUGUUCCUUGAUGUGGUACGAGUGAGCGAGUCAUAUGGGCUUCGAUUUCCACGGGAGUUUGCAAUCUUGAUGAAGCAGCUUCUGUACUUUGAUCGGUACACUCGCUUGUUAGCACCCAAUAUGAACAUGCUCCAG
RNAcentral lists this unclassified non-coding RNA (214 nucleotides) under Hevea brasiliensis (rubber tree). Lineage: Eukaryota; Viridiplantae; Streptophyta; Magnoliopsida; Malpighiales; Euphorbiaceae. The record is from RNAcentral.